RNAcentral lists this ribosomal RNA (1041 nucleotides) under Triticum aestivum (bread wheat). RNAcentral's name for it is "partial small subunit ribosomal RNA". Lineage: Eukaryota; Viridiplantae; Streptophyta; Magnoliopsida; Poales; Poaceae. The record is from RNAcentral.
AUGCCGGCGACGGCGGUGAAAAGAGGUCGCGGCGGUUCAAGCAUCUACCUCGUGUUGGAUGACUGGACCAAGGGGUACAGCAUCCACAAGAUCCAAGCCGACAGCUUCGACUCUGACUCUGACUCUGGCUCUGAUGACCAGCACAGCGGCGCUGCCCGGCACCUCCCGGAGCCUCCGACCCUGCGGUUAGAGUGCCCGGUUGGCACUGUACCCCAUCCCGGCAUGUCGUUCUCUGCCUUGGGCACCAAGAUCUUCACCUUCAUGAACCAGCGAUGCAGCCUCAUCUACGACACCAAGACGGCUGCAAUGACGAUUGGCGCCCAUGCCCCUGCUGACAUGGUCUGUGGCUUCGGCAUCACCAUGGUCGUUGAUGAGAUGCUCCAUGCAUUAUCUUACCACUUCCGCGUGAAACAACACUCCUUUGGGUUCAUGUCAUGGCAACAACCAACCGAGGGCUGGUCCUGGAAGACUCUGCCGCCACCACCGCCAACGUUCCACCGUCGAGUCAACUCCUAUGCACUACACCCGGAUGGAUGCACCAUCUUUAUGUCCACAGCUAACUUCAUGUUGCAUGGGCACUACUCAUUCAACACCAAGGAUUCUGUGUGGAGAUGGCAUGGGGAGUGGGCCUUGCCAUUCAGCGGCCAAGCACACUUUGACAGGGAGCUCAACGCCUGGGUUGGCCUUCAUCGGGAUGGCUACAUCUGUUGCCAAGUUGCCUCCCCCAGCUGCCACAGCACGACUCCAACGUUGCAGACAACCAAGGAGAAGUUGUUCUGCAAGGACCGGAAGCCACACAUGGGAGUCUCUCUCAGCUAUGUGGGCAUGAGCAAGUUCUGCCUCGUCCAACGCGUGGAACGGGAGGGACUGGAGGAGGCACUGGCUCGGGGAGACUAUGCCGGCUGUGUGCUCCAUAUCACCUUAUUUGGCCUCAAGUUCAAUCACAAGGGAGAGCUGCAGAUCACAGAUCACCGCUCCACGCGCUCCUUCAUAGUGUCUAGGCAUAAAGAUCACUUUAUGCCUGUAGCAUUUUGGAUGUAG